UACGUAGGGUGCAAGCGUUAAUCGGAAUUACUGGGCGUAAAGGGUGCGCAGGUGGUCUGUUAAGUUCGAUGUGAAAUCCCUGGGCUCAACUCAGGAACUGCAUUGGAUACUGACAGGCUAGAGUACCGGAGAGGGAAGCGGAAUUCCUGGUGUAGCGGUGAAAUGCGUAGAUACCAGGAGGAACACCGGUGGCGAAGGCGGCUUCCUGGCCGAGUACUGACACUCAUGCACGAAAGCGUGGGGAGCAAACGGG
Molecule: ribosomal RNA, 253 nt
Filed under: uncultured bacterium
Lineage: Bacteria
Description: partial 16S ribosomal RNA
Rfam family: Bacterial small subunit ribosomal RNA
Source: RNAcentral